RNAcentral lists this unclassified non-coding RNA (454 nucleotides) under Hevea brasiliensis (rubber tree). Lineage: Eukaryota; Viridiplantae; Streptophyta; Magnoliopsida; Malpighiales; Euphorbiaceae. The record is from RNAcentral.
CUACAAGUGUCCAGCAGGAAAGCUUGGACGUCAACGGGUCAGCUACCGCUGCAUUUCAGUCACUUGAGGUACCCAAAGUCGCAUCUGGUCCGCAUAGCUCUGCUGGGGCACUGCAACUUUGUGAAGAUGAUUUCCUGGAAAUGGAUGAUCUCAUUGGUCCAGAACCUACUUCCUUGAACACUGAGAAGGCUGCAGAGAACUUGGGGUUUGACAAUUUUGGACUUAGCGAGCUUGAUCUGUACCAUGAUGCUGACCUGUUUUUGAGUGAAAUUGGGCCUGUUGCUCAAGACACAGUUUCACAUGUAAACGGAGUUGGUUACCCGUUGCAGUUCCAUUCAAUGGCAAAUCAGGUGGACUACCAAUUGCAGCCACAUUCAGCAGUAAAUGAUGUGGAUUACUUGCAGCCACAAGCAUUUGGUGCAGCUCAGCUAUGGGCAUUGCUUCUCUGAUCAUC